Humulus lupulus (European hop) is the source of this 282-nucleotide long non-coding RNA. RefSeq lists it as uncharacterized. Lineage: Eukaryota; Viridiplantae; Streptophyta; Magnoliopsida; Rosales; Cannabaceae. The transcript is spliced from 3 exons. The record is from RefSeq and is a predicted model, not a curated record.
UUGUCCAAGCUGCUGCCAUUCGUGGGUGUUGUUUCUGAUUUUUCUUCUCUGAUGUGUUGUAAAUCAUUAAAGCAGAAAGGCGGAAAGAGACCAUGGCUUCUCCUUCUCCUUCUCACCUCACAGUUAUCCCACAACGCCUCUCAAAACCCUCCCUUUCCCACUUAAACUCGAAGCCAGUCGAGCUCCGUGUGAGGUCGAGUUUGGAAAAUGAGAGCAGUGGCACUGAGGAUUCUGGUCACUCAUCAUCAAAACCUCUGAAGGGAUCUCAGCCAGCAAUCAAUC